UUGCGGGUGCGACCCGGUAACAAUAAUAAUUCGUUGGAUUUAAAUUAUUGGCCCAAAAUACUUAGGGUGCGUUUGGUUCGAGUUAUCCUGGCAGGAUUACAGGCAAUCCUGCCAGGAUAACUGUGUUUGGUUAUCCGCUAUGUAAUUUAGUCGUUAAUAUAGUAUUACAAAUCGAGUAGGAUUAUAUCAAAAAUAUUAACGGGAAGGGGGUCGUGUAUCUUGCAUCACUGAAACCCGUUAAUACUACAUAUUAUGUAAAAUGACAAUUUUACCCUACAUCAACCCCAAAUCUAAUUAACAGUAUUAUUUUCAUCUCUCUCUCGCCUUCCCCCGACCCUCUCUCUCGCACGCCGCUUUCUCUCGCUCUCUCUCUCUAAACGUCUCUCUCUCUCUCUCGCGCGCGCACGAACACCUAUCAUCUUCUAUUGCAUCGUCCUCCCAAGUAAUCAUCACGAUCUCCUUCCCUCCAUUCGUCAUUUUCGUAAAAAAUAAUAUUCAAAUGACAACAAUAAGGGCAAUUUUAGAAAAAACUAUACUUUUAUGUCAGGAUUACUAAAUUUUAUAAACUGAACCAAACAUAUUAAUGCUAUAAACACUGUAAUCUAGUAUUACAUUACUAUAUUAAACCAAACGCUCUAAUGCAGCAUCAGUAGUAAUCUCACGCCGAAAUCCAAGAUACCUGGAUAUGUCGAGAUACUUUGUAAUAUUACAUAACUCGAACCAAACGGGCCCUUAAGAGAUUCUUGGGGCGUUAUAAACUCGUCGUGGGACGUUACAAACUCUUCCUGUUUAGACUCGGUCCUACGGGUUGAAGAGGUGUGGCUUCUACCAAAUUUAUUGAUAUAACACUUGCAGCUGGUAUUCGGCUCUGAUACCAAUUGUAACGACUUGACGCGCUAGCAACAAUAACUCGUUGGGCCCAAAUCACUGGUUCAAAAUACUUAAAUCUAAUUAUUAUUAUUAACAUAUAGGUCUUAUAUAUUCUAAUCAAAAUUAUUUUUCAUCUGACGUGGAACAACUAGCAUGUUACAGAUAAUUUCUCCGGUCUCAGAUCAGACAGAUCUAGACAACAAACAGACCUUUAAUCGCGAGCCAGUUGUAAUUUCUAGAUUUGAAUCACGCACCCACCGAGUUACACGUGUUUGGCGUAGCUACGAACUUCAAAACAGAGAACGAAAACUUAGGCUUAGUUUGGUAUUGAGAUCUAUCUAAUGCUAUUAGAUAAAAUGGAGUUGAGGAAAAAAUAUAUAGGAUAUACUUCUGCGUUCUCUAGUGGAACCGCAAAAAAUAUAUCAUAACCGACUCAUCGCGAUAUGCGGAACGUUCAUAAUAUUACGUACGAAAACAAAUAGGGUAUUUUUCCAAUAUACUUUUUCAACGUACGUAACGCAAUCUUCCUGCACGCAACGCAAUCUCUCUGCAAUCUCAAACGAAGCCUUAAACGACACUCUGAUAUCUCUCUGUCCCUCAAAAAAAAAAAAAAAAAAAAAAAAAAAA
RNAcentral lists this long non-coding RNA (1497 nucleotides) under Ananas comosus (pineapple). Its description in RNAcentral is "long non-coding RNA (ACOM_LNC032249)". The record is from RNAcentral. Lineage: Eukaryota; Viridiplantae; Streptophyta; Magnoliopsida; Poales; Bromeliaceae.